GCCAGGCAUGGUGGCGUGUGCCUGUAAUCCCAGCUACUCAGGAGGCUGAGGCAGGAGAAUUGCUUGAACCCAGGAGGCGAAGGUUGCAGUGAGCUGAGAUCAUGCCACUGCACUCCAGCCUGGGCAACAGAGUGAGAAUCUGUCUCAA
Molecule: non-coding RNA, 148 nt
Filed under: Homo sapiens (human)
Lineage: Eukaryota; Metazoa; Chordata; Mammalia; Primates; Hominidae
Source: Rfam by way of RNAcentral